GAUGAACGCUGGCGGCGUGCCUAAUACAUGCAAGUCGAACGAGGUGCUUUUGUAGCAAUACGAGAGUAUCCUAGUGGCGAACGGGUGAGUAACGCGUUGGUGACCUACCCCAAAGUGUGGAAUAACAGUCCGAAAGGAUUGCUAAUACCGCAUGUGGUUAUCGGGCUUAGAAACUGAUAACUAAAGGAGCAAUUCGCUUUGGGAGGGACCUGCGUCCCAUCAGCUAGUUGGUGAGGUAACGGCUCACCAAGGCUACGACGGGUAGGGGACCUGAGAGGGUGACCCCCCCCAAUGGAACUGAAACACGGUCCAUACACCUACGGGUGGCAGCAGUAGGAAAUAUUGCACAAUGGGCGAAAGCCUGAUGCAGCAACGCCGCGUGUGCGAUGAAGGCCUUCGGGUUGUAAAGCACUUUUUUGAGAGAUGAGAAAGGACAGUAUUUCAGGAAUAAGUCUUGGCUAACUACGUG
RNAcentral lists this ribosomal RNA (469 nucleotides) under uncultured bacterium. RNAcentral describes it as "bacterial SSU rRNA". It matches the Rfam family "Bacterial small subunit ribosomal RNA", at positions 28 to 507 of the family's 1533-position model. The record is from RNAcentral.